AUUACCCUGGGUAGGCUAAGUAACCUACGUAUAAAAGUAUGUCAGCUUCGCCUGCCCACUGUUGCCCUAAAACGCCGACUCCACGCCUCUUCUUCUCGCGAUCACCGGCUCUCCCUGGUGGCAGUCACUCCACCGAAUCGGCAGAGCUCCUCACCGAAGACUCGAGCUCAGAUCAAGCCUCGCAUCCCGCAGCUAGAUCCGUGGAGGACAUUUGGAUUCGGGUGGUAGCAAGGACAGAGCGGGGAUGUCUGGCAGAGGCGCAAGGACACGAAAGGCGAGUCCAAUCUCUAUGCAAGUUGCGAUAUCUGUGAGGUAUUGGUUAAGGAACUGGGAGUUGAUGGAGUCCUUAUCGACAAGUUCCAUGUGACUGUGAGGAUGACUUCCAGGAUAUGCCGGAAGGCCCUCGGACGGAGUAGACAAGGAGGCGGGAUGGACGCAUGGUUCUGUCCGUUGUCCGGGAGUACAGAGCCUAUUGGGUUUACUGCGAGAGAUUUUUCCUUUCUUUGUCAUUUGGGUGGGAACUGUUUGAGGAGUUUUUGUUCAACUUGAUAAACCUAGUUUGAUACUGUCGUGCCCAUUGGUUAUGAUAAUUUCUUUGAUGGUACUA
Molecule: long non-coding RNA, 607 nt
Organism: Zingiber officinale
Lineage: Eukaryota; Viridiplantae; Streptophyta; Magnoliopsida; Zingiberales; Zingiberaceae
Exons: 2
Source: RefSeq, a predicted model, not a curated record